CUCUGAGACCGUGACAGCAGGCGGUACGGUAACCGAUACACUCACCCCGCUCCACUAGCGCACGCAGAGCGGCACCUUCCCCCGCUUUGGCGGGCUUUUCUGUCUCGCCGCUUCGGCUGGCUUCGUCUUAUCCCCUUCCCGGAACCCAGUUUUCACCCAAUCUCGCACCCACCGCUUGCGUGGCGCGAUAAGACGCUCUCGUUUCAUUACGGCGCCGCGUUCUCUCUCACUUCCCCGCCGCUUCGUGAUCUAUUAGUGGAAAAGCUGAGUGGGAUUAGCAGCAGCGCUCGGCGCCCCCCUUCGUCUUUUUUGAGAGCGCCGGAGAGACGGAGAGGCGAAGGUAGAUGGAUUGCGUCGCGAGGAGAACGCGCAGCCGGAGAGCCCUAAGCGAAGGGGCCUGGCUCGAAGGGUCGCCCAGCCUUCGCGGACACGGCGCCGCCGCCCGCUCCAGCGGCUCCUCCUCGGCCGGCGGAGGCCGGGAGGGGGCUGGGGUUUCGGAUUCCCCGGAUGGAUUAGGAUUCGAUGAGAGGAGCGAGACUUCGGUUGGGGCACCGGCCCCGCAAGUGAUCGUCCUCGACGACGACGGUGACGAGGACGACGGAGGAAGAGGAGUUGACGGGGAUUGCAAGAAAGGGGCUUCUUUGCAGGGGAAUCGCGGCCACCGGAGCUCUCGGAAGUCUGCUUACGCGGAUGAGGCGGUGGAAUUGGGAGCUUGGCCGCGACCACCGGGGUUGCGGAACGGAGGGGAGUCCUGGUCGUCCUCCGAUCGGAAAGCGGUCAUCGCCGUUUCGGAUCUCAAGGGUGACGAUAGCGAGGCCACCGUGGAAGACCGAACGAGGUCGAAAUCAGGUUCUAAUGAUGUAAAAUCGGCUUCUUGGAGCGGUUCAGACGCUGCCAGUGGGGGAUUGAAUGCUUGCGAACAUGAAGGAAGAGAAGGGGAAAUGCUUGAAGUCAAUGUUGCCGAAAGAAAGUCAGAAGAUAAAGAAGCCUGUGACGGCGGUGGAGAAAAGGAAAUUCAUAAAAUCGCGGAUUCUAAUGGGGAAGUCGAAGUUCUAGAAACUAAUGAUGCUAAUGUAGAAGAAAAAGAUCAGGAAUUGAUGGUUGAUGAAGGGGAAACCCAUGAAGUUCACAAACACGAUGUCAAAUUUGGAGUUCAAGAAUCUGAACAAACUGGAAAACAAGGGGUAAGUCUCAAUCUUGCCGACGCCAAUAGAGAAAGAAAAGAUCAGGAAUUUGAGAUUGCUGACGGGAAAACCCAUGAAGUUUGUGAACCCAAUGUCGAAUUCAGAGCUCAAGAAUCUCAACAAACUGGCAAAGAAGGGGGGAGCCAUAAUCUUGCUUUUGCCAAUGGAGAAAGAAAAGAUCAGGAUGUUGAGGUUGAUGAAGGGAAAACCCAUGAAGUUCACGAACCCAAUGUCGAAUUCGAAGUUGAAGAAUGUCGAGAAAGUGGCAGAAAAGAUGGAAGUAACAUUCUUGCUGACGCUGAAGGGCAGGUGGAUGUUCUGGAAAUUAAUGAUGUUGAUGAAGAAGAGGAUGCUGAGGUAGGCAGUGACAAAAGGAGUGCUCAGGAAGUUAGGUAUUUUGUGACAACUUCUUGUGUAGCAAGGAGGACUCGAUCGCGAAUGGGGAAGCAAAGGAGAGUGUCAUAUACGCAAUACUUCAAGGUGGAAUUGUCGGAUGAUUCAGAGGAUGAGGAGGAUGAAGAAGAGGAGGAGGCGGAAGAUGAUUCCUGUUAUGAAAGUGACUAUGCUGAUCCUGAGAACACCAGGAUAAUGAGCGGAGGUGGCCAGAAGGGGUGUGGGGAGGAUGGGCAGAACUACAAGGUUAAGCCGGAUGUAAGAAGUUUCUCUGGCGAGGACGGGAGUAUAGCAGUUGCCCACCAUGCUCAAUCCUGUUUUGAUUCAGAGCCUUGCAACAAGAAACAGAAGGUUGGGUUUGCAAGUAACCUGGAUGAAUCAAAGGAAAAUUUUGGUUUUUCAUCUGGUAUGGAUUGUGGGAAGGGCAGUUGCAGAAGGAAUCAGGUUAAGAGUGGUGGUGGUGGCAGCAAGAUAGAUGUGGAUGGGAGAGAAUGGGGGUCAAGGCGAGAGGGACCACAGCUGGGGAAAACCAAGAAGAGAAAGCGUUUGCGGGCAUUGAAGAGUUGCUCCCUCUUUAAUCUUCUUGUUGAUACCAUUUGCAAUGACCUAGAUAAGCUUCCAGAGAAUUUGGUUUCUUCCAAGGAAAAAUCUUCUCUAUCAAAUGUGAAACCAUCUUGCAACAAGGAUAUAUUUCCAUGCAUAUUCUCGUUUGCAGAUGAAGAUGGCAAACCUGUUGAAAAAUCAGAUUUUGAGAAUGCGCUGGAUGAAUUAUGGGCUGAUUUUGAAUUUGCUCUAGAGUCGAACAAUAUCGGUACCUACAAUAAUGAUGAGGGUCAAAUAGAAGUUGAUAUACCUGAGGAUGAAUCUGAUCUAUUGACAUUAUGUUCUAAAGGGAAACACCAGUUUAUUCUUGAUGAGCAGAUAGGAACUAGAUGCAAGUUCUGCUCCUUUGUGAAUCUGGAGAUCAAAUAUAUAAUACCAUCUUUGGCAACACACAUUUGGGAAGGGUCAGCUAGGAUAAACUCUGCUAAGGUGGAAGGCACGCUCUUAUUUGAUGAUCUUUGUAGAACAGUUAAAGAUGAUGGUAAUCCAAAUUCAUGCGGUCUUCUAAAGGGAACUGUAUGGGAUCUCGUUCCAGGGAUUAAGGAUAAAAUGUAUGAACAUCAGCAGGAAGCAUUUGAGUUUAUGUGGAAAAAUCUAGCUGGAGGAAUUGACCUUGAUGAGCUGAAAUCAGGUGCUAGAUCUGACGUCAUUGGUGGGUGUGUGAUUUCACAUGCCCCAGGGACAGGAAAGACGCGAUUAUCAAUAAUCUUUAUCCAGACAUACAUGAAGGUUUUCCCAGAAUGCAGGCCUGUAAUUGUUGCUCCUAGUGGAAUGCUCCUGACGUGGGAAGAAGAAUUCAGAAAAUGGAACGUGGACCUUCCAAUUCAUAAUUUGAAUGCUCCAGACUACUCUGGGAAGGAAGAUAUUGCCUUCCGUCAGUUGGCAGCGAAAGAACCUCGAAAUAUCAGUUUCAUGCGUCUAGUGAAAUUAUAUUCAUGGGUCAAAAGUAACGGUAUCCUUGGAAUAAGCUAUGGCUUGUUCAAAAAGCUAACAGCAGACAACUCUUGUGACCCGAAAUUGAGUCAGGUCCUGCUUGAGAAGCCAGGUUUGCUUGUUCUUGAUGAGGGGCACACACCCAGAAAUGAACGCAGUCUUAUUUGGAAGGCACUGGGAAAAAUCAAAACAGAAAAACGUAUCAUCCUUUCUGGAACUCCUUUUCAAAAUAAUUUUGGGGAGCUUUACAAUAUUAUGUGUCUGGUAAAACCUAAAUUUGCUGAAAAGAUCUCAAUUAGAACAUCAAAACGAGGUCAAAGAAAGGCAAAAUUCAUCUCGUACAUGGAACAAGACAUCUUACCAGAAAAGAAUGAAGGAAAAGAGAUUUGGGCUUCUCUAACUAAUCAUGUUACUGAUGAUAAUGCGGAAGAAAUAAGAUCAAUAUUAAAACCAUUUGUGCAUAUUCAUAGUGGCAAUAUCCUCAACACUCUUCCUGGUUUGAGGGAAUGCGUGAUUGAAUUAGAUCCACCACCUCACCAAAAAGACAUCAUUGAGAAAAUGGAACACAUUGGAUCGAAUGUCAUCUUUGAGAAUGAAUAUAAGACCUCCUUGGCUUCUAUUCAUCCUUCAUUAGUCACUUAUUUGAACUUGUCUACUGAGGAAGAAUCUCUUUUAGACAAACCUUUGCUAGAGAAACAGAAGUUGAACCCCUAUAUAGGGGUGAAAACAAGAUUUGUAAUGGAAGUUGUUCGACUUUGCGAAGCAUUAAAAGAGAAGGUUUUGAUUUUCAGUCAGUAUAUUCAGCCAUUGUCUAUGAUAAAGGACCAACUAAUCAAGUUAUUCAAUUGGAGUGAAGGGAAGGAGGUGUUGCAGAUGGAUGGCAAGAUCCGCACAAAAUAUCGUCAAUCCUCAAUUGAUAUUUUCAACGAUAUGGAAAGUGAAGCAAGGGUGCUGCUUGCAUCAACAAAGGCUUGCUGUGAAGGGAUAAGCCUAACUGGGGCUUCAAGGGUUGUACUUCUGGAUGUUGUGUGGAACCCAGCAGUAGGAAGACAAGCCAUCAGCCGAGCAUACAGAAUUGGGCAGAAGAAAUUUGUGUACACUUACAACCUGAUGACAAGUGGAACAGGGGAAAGAGACAAAUAUGACAGACAAGCUAAAAAGGAUCAUCUUUCUAAAUUAGUGUUUUCCACUGAAAUUGAUUUUACUAAUGUCAGAAACAGUUCAUCACAGGCCAAAGAGGAACAUUCAACUAAAUUGAUUUCUGAAGAUAAAAUUUUAGAAGAGAUGACUGCACAUGACAAACUAAAGGGCAUGUUUCUCAAGAUUUACUAUCCACCAAAGGGUAUAUGCACUUAACAGUGUUGGCCCCUAAUUGAUGCAGCGGCAACCAUUGACUGAAUUUCAUUUGAUGGAGACUUCUUUUCUUGUGCACACCAUCAAUAAAUGCACUCUUACUUUUCCUGAUGAUGAUUUUUUAAACAAUUUAUGAGUUUUAUCGGAGAAUAGUUAGUCAAGAUACAAGUUUGAAUGAGAAUCCAAUGCACUUAUCGGGAAUAUCUCAUACGGCCAUGAAGUUGAUGCAGUCAUGAUAUGCAUGAUGGAAUUAAUGCAAUGAAAUGCUAAUGGCUGUUGAUGGAAGUUGUUUGAGCGCUUGACAUGGUUUUGUUGCAUAAUAGGAUUUAAUGAUCAAUUAUGGUUAGGAUUAAUUCUCAUUUAUGCUCCUUUUCACAUCUGACCUGUCUAGACUAAUGUAAUGAGGACGAUUUAAUGAUUUACUUCUAUGGAACCAACUCUUUUCAUCCGAUCAAAA
Phoenix dactylifera (date palm) is the source of this 4923-nucleotide RNA transcript. It is a transcript of the gene named SNF2 domain-containing protein CLASSY 3-like, with no coding region annotated. The record is from RefSeq and is a predicted model, not a curated record. NCBI's taxonomy places the organism in Eukaryota, Viridiplantae, Streptophyta, Magnoliopsida, Arecales, Arecaceae.